AGCUAUGCACAGUGGCAGUAUCGUAGCCAAUGAGGUUUAUCUGAGGAGCAAUUAUUGCUAAUUGAAACUAAAUUUCAUAAAGGAAGCUGAGGUACAUGUUUCUAUUCCAUCACUGAUUUCUGAUAAUUUUACAGUUACUAGAAAA
This is a small nuclear RNA of Erinaceus europaeus (western European hedgehog), 145 nucleotides long. Its record names the gene U4. It matches the Rfam family "U4 spliceosomal RNA". Rfam says of the family: U4 small nuclear RNA (U4 snRNA) is a component of the major U2-dependent spliceosome. NCBI's taxonomy places the organism in Eukaryota, Metazoa, Chordata, Mammalia, Eulipotyphla, Erinaceidae. The record is from Ensembl.